UCAAACAAACUACACUUCAAUCAAACCAACGUCUAACUAAGCAUUAACACAAUAGUCAAAUGGUAACUGUCUAACUACGCAUUGGAGCUAACAUUAACAACUACAGGUAACUGUCUAACUAAGCAUUAACCAACGUCAUAUUACUCAAGUUAUUCUUGUUUGCGGUACAUUAUUUGGUCUUCUGGAAGCGUAAACUUAUAGGUUUCUGUCUAACUAACAAACGUCUUCUGUCUAACUAACCAUUAACAGGUCUUAUGUCUAACUAACCAACGUCUUCUGUCUAACUAACCAUUAACAGGUCUUCUGUCUAACUAACCAACGUUAUAUUACUAAGCAUAUCACUCAAGUUAUUCUUAUCAUACACAUGGGCUUUCUGCUUCUGAACCGCUUAUGAAUCUCGUUUUUCUUUUUUGCAUUCAACAGAAUCGGAUCCUAUAUGAAAUCAAGCAUCAAACCUAUCUAACUAAGCAUAAACCACAACAGUCAGAUUUGUUCUGUUCAUACGAGAAUGAC
Molecule: long non-coding RNA, 513 nt
Filed under: Brassica napus (rape)
Lineage: Eukaryota; Viridiplantae; Streptophyta; Magnoliopsida; Brassicales; Brassicaceae
Description: long non-coding RNA (BNAP_LNC017993)
Source: RNAcentral